AGAGUUUGAUCCUGGCUCAGUAAGUCGUAACAAGGUAACCAUAGAGUUUGAUCCUGGCUCAGGACGAACGCUGGCGGCGUGCCUAAUACAUGCAAGUCGAGCGGACUUAAAAAGCUUGCUUUUUAAGUUAGCGGCGGACGGGUGAGUAACACGUGGGCAACCUGCCUGUAAGACUGGGAUAACUUCGGGAAACCGGAGCUAAUACCGGAUAAUCCUUUUCUACUCAUGUAGGAAAGCUGAAAGACGGUUUACGCUGUCACUUACAGAUGGGCCCGCGGCGCAUUAGCUAGUUGGUGAGGUAACGGCUCACCAAGGCGACGAUGCGUAGCCGACCUGAGAGGGUGAUCGGCCACACUGGGACUGAGACACGGCCCAGACUCCUACGGGAGGCAGCAGUAGGGAAUCUUCCGCAAUGGACGAAAGUCUGACGGAGCAACGCCGCGUGAGUGAUGAAGGUUUUCGGAUCGUAAAACUCUGUUGUUAGGGAAGAACAAGUACGAGAGUAACUGCUCGUACCUUGACGGUACCUAACCAGAAAGCCACGGCUAACUACGUGCCAGCAGCCGCGGUAAUACGUAGGUGGCAAGCGUUGUCCGGAAUUAUUGGGCGUAAAGCGCGCGCAGGCGGUCCUUUAAGUCUGAUGUGAAAGCCCACGGCUCAACCGUGGAGGGUCAUUGGAAACUGGGGGACUUGAGUGCAGAAGAGAAGAGUGGAAUUCCACGUGUAGCGGUGAAAUGCGUAGAGAUGU
RNAcentral lists this ribosomal RNA (748 nucleotides) under uncultured bacterium. RNAcentral describes it as "bacterial SSU rRNA". It matches the Rfam family "Bacterial small subunit ribosomal RNA", at positions 1 to 699 of the family's 1533-position model. The record is from RNAcentral.